AACGAACGCUGGCGGCGUGCCUAACACAUGCAAGUCGAACGAGAAAGGGGCUUCGGCUCCGAGUAAAGUGGCGCACGGGUGAGUAACACGUGGGUAACCUGCCUCUAAGAUUGGGAUAACUCGUCGAAAGAUGAGCUAAUACCGAAUAAGACCACAGUUCCCGCGGGAACAGGGGUCAAAGGUAGCCUCUGCUUGCAAGCUAUCACUUAGAGAUGGGCCUGCGCACCAUUAGCUAGUUGGUAGGGUAACGGCCUACCAAGGCAAAGAUGGUUAGCUGGUCUGAGAGGAUGAUCAGCCACACUGGAACUGAGACACGGUCCAGACUCCUACGGGAGGCAGCAGUGGGGUAUAUUGCGCAAUGGGCGAAAGCUUGACGCAGCAACGCCGCGUGAGUGAUGAAGGCCUUCGGGUCGUAAAGCUCUGUCGGGAGGAACGAAUGCUCCUGAGGUUAACAGCCUCGGGAGGUGACGGUACCUUCAAAGGAAGCACCGGCUAACUCUGUG
This 503-nucleotide ribosomal RNA is filed under the name uncultured bacterium. Its description in RNAcentral is "partial 16S ribosomal RNA". It matches the Rfam family "Bacterial small subunit ribosomal RNA", at positions 29 to 507 of the family's 1533-position model. The record is from RNAcentral.